UUAAAUUUCAUACGGUCAUUGCUUUAACAUCAAGCAUUUGUCAGUAACCCGCAAUGCAUACCAUACACUUCUAUUGUCCAACUCACUACAAUUGCCAUUUAGGAAUGUAUAAGGCUCAAAAGCUCAAGUAUAGUAUCUCAAUUAGCAAUAUGAACAAAGAUUCCUUGUGCGAUCGUACUUAGGGUCAUCGAAGCAACUACGAUCUCAUUCAGAAUUAAAAUUCAUCGAGACAACUAAGGUCUCAUCCAGAUUUAAAAUUCAUUGAGAUAACUAGGGUCUUAUUUGGAUUAAAAAUUCAUGGAGGCAAGGGUCAGUGGCACCAACCUAUUAUCACAUAAUGAAUAAAGAACUUUUCUUGUCUUACCAAUUUUCAAUUUUCACCAUUGUUUCAAUUAAUCAGGAUCCAAGAUUCUUGAUGAAUAAUCAAGAACAAGAUCUGUAACACAUACAAUGUAGCCAAUAUGAGAAACAUACAGAAUAUAGCAUACACAGAUUAUACUAUACAAACGAAUUUGCAGAAUAGAAUUUUCCAAGAAACUACCCAAGAAAUUGCCUCAAAAUCAUUUUUGGGUUUUAGAACAUGGGUGAGUUUUCUCAAAAGAUGACACUUUAUUCAGAUCAAUAGCAAAGAAUUUCAAAAUGUUGAAAAUGAAUAAAGAUAAACGAUCGAGAUGUCCAUUCAUUCAAUAUAAACCCAGUAAGAUCCCCAUUCUUCUGUUAUCGAAGAGGGUUUAAGAUUUUCUUGGCUUGGCAAAGGAAUUUAUAAAUGAAUUCCUCAAAAUGUUUAAUGAAUAAAACAAAGAAGACAAAAAGAAGAUGAAAACAUUCCCUUAUAUGAUAGUUUAACUUAAAGCAAACCCAAGAAAAGGAUAAAAACAUUCCCUUAUAUGAUUUGAUUCCAAACCCAAAUUUCAUCAUUUGAAUCCUAGUAUAAAGCCUUCACCUUUUCACACUUUCAUUACUAAACAGAGAUUAAAGCAAACCCACGUAGCAAAAACGAACUUAGAAUAAUAUGGUUAAUCACGGAUGACGGAGGGAGGGAGAGAGAGAGAGAGAGGGAGAGAGAGAGAGG
Molecule: long non-coding RNA, 1072 nt
Filed under: Lupinus angustifolius (narrow-leaved blue lupine)
Lineage: Eukaryota; Viridiplantae; Streptophyta; Magnoliopsida; Fabales; Fabaceae
Description: long non-coding RNA (LANG_LNC000949)
Source: RNAcentral